AUAAUGAUACUUCCGUAAUUCGCGGCCCGGUCAUAAAGAAGACGGGGGGGCCGAGAGGCCAAUGG
This 65-nucleotide non-coding RNA is filed under the name unclassified sequences. RNAcentral's name for it is "pemK RNA". It matches the Rfam family "pemK RNA". The record is from RNAcentral.